RNAcentral lists this ribosomal RNA (253 nucleotides) under uncultured bacterium. Its description in RNAcentral is "partial 16S ribosomal RNA". It matches the Rfam family "Bacterial small subunit ribosomal RNA", at positions 524 to 776 of the family's 1533-position model. The record is from RNAcentral.
UACGAAGGGGGCUAGCGUUGCUCGGAAUCACUGGGCGUAAAGGGUGCGUAGGCGGUCGGGUAAGUCUGAUGUGAAAUCUCACAGCUUAACUGUGAAACUGCAUUGGAUACUAUCCGGCUAGAGGAAUGGAGGGGAGACUGGAAUACUUGGUGUAGCAGUGAAAUGCGUAGAUAUCAAGUGGAACACCAGUGGCGAAGGCGAGUCUCUGGACAUUUCCUGACGCUGAGGCACGAAUGCCAGGGGAGCAAACGGG